This is an RNA transcript of Rosa chinensis, 803 nucleotides long. It is a transcript of the gene named ankyrin repeat domain-containing protein, chloroplastic, with no coding region annotated. NCBI's taxonomy places the organism in Eukaryota, Viridiplantae, Streptophyta, Magnoliopsida, Rosales, Rosaceae. The transcript is spliced from 4 exons. The record is from RefSeq and is a predicted model, not a curated record.
CCGUACAUGGCUAUGGUAAGAGGAAAAGCUGAUGCUGCAUAGGCAAAAACCUGAUAUGGCUUCUGCCACCUCUGUAAGUGUCGCAUCUGUUAUGAUCAUUAAUAGGUGACUUUUGGGCUUUCAUUUUUGUCUUUAGAAAAUUGUCCCGUGUGAUGGUGAGUCUGUAAAGGUGGCUGAUGCAUACUGUCUUGCUGGAUUGAGAUUUUAUAUAAAAAGAUGUUUUGAACUGCGGCUUCAGUUGUUGUAGUGCUAUCACAAUCUGCAGGGACGCUAAUAUCUCCUAACAUAAACAUACUUUUUAAUUUCUAAUUUGAUGAACUCUUUCCAGAGUAAAUGGUUGCCCCUUCACACUCUUGCCGUAUCAGGAGAAUAUUACAUUAUGCACGCUUUAUCAAAACAUGAAGCUGAUAUUAAUGCUGCGGAUAAGGAUGAUUGGACUGUUCUUGACAAGGCAAUUAUCGGUAAAAACCAGGCCAUUACAGACUAUCUUCUCAGAGAUUCGGCUAAUCCAUUUGUUCGUGAUAAAGGGGUUGGAAGUUUAUGUAUGUUUAUAUAUUGAUCCAGGUCGGUGUUGUGGUAGCUCUUUGCUCUAAAAGAAGUUUUAUGUGGAUACAUGAUGGCACUGCCUCAAUGCAGUAUGCUGUCCGGACAGCUUGAAGUCAAGUAACUGAGGUUCUUUUGUUAUACAACGGUGAUAUAAACCUUCAGGACAAUGUAUGGAUUAAACUUUUGCGAAAAGUGAAAGCACUCUCGAAUGCAAUAUUAAUGGGUCAUAACUAAAUAGAGCUCUUCUUUUCACUUUA